AGAGUUUGAUCAUGGCUCAGGACGAACGCUGGCGGCGCGCCUAACACAUGCAAGUCGAACGAGAACCUCGGGCUUCGGCCUGGGGGGAGAGUGGCGAACGGGUGAGUAACACGUGAGGAACCUGCCCCGGAGACCGGGAUAACCCAAGGAAACUCGGGCUAAUACCGGAUGUCCUCAUUGGACCGCAUGAUCCGAUGAGGAAAUGGAUUCCGCUCCGGGAUGGCCUCGCGGCCUAUCAGCUUGUUGGUGAGGUAACGGCUCACCAAGGCAACGACGGGUAGCUGGUCUGAGAGGACGAUCAGCCACACUGGGACUGAGACACGGCCCAGACUCCUACGGGAGGCAGCAGUGGGGAAUCUUGCGCAAUGGGGGAAACCCUGACGCAGCGACGCCGCGUGCGGGAUGAAGGCCUUCGGGUUGUAAACCGCUUUCAGCAGGGACGAAAUUGACGGUACCUGCAGAAGAAGGCCCGGCCAACUACGUGCCAGCAGCCGCGGUAAUACGUAGGGGCCAAGCGUUGUCCGGGAUUCAUUGGGCGUAAAGAGCUCGUAGGCGGCUUGGCAAGUCGGAUGUGAAAUCCCCGUGCUCAACGCGGGGCGGCCAUCCGAUACUGCUAUGGCUAGAGUCCAGUAGGGGAGUGUGGAAUUCCCGGUGUAGCGGUGAAAUGCGCGAUAUCGGGAGGAACACCAGCGGCGAAGGCGGCACUCUGGGCUGGUAUUGACGCUGAGGAGCGAAAGCGUGGGGAGCGAACAGGAUUAGAUACCCUAGUAGUCC
Molecule: ribosomal RNA, 774 nt
Filed under: uncultured bacterium
Lineage: Bacteria
Description: bacterial SSU rRNA
Rfam family: Bacterial small subunit ribosomal RNA
Source: RNAcentral